Molecule: ribosomal RNA, 443 nt
Filed under: uncultured bacterium
Lineage: Bacteria
Description: partial 16S ribosomal RNA
Rfam family: Bacterial small subunit ribosomal RNA
Source: RNAcentral
CCUACGGGUGGCAGCAGUGGGGAAUAUUGGGCAAUGGGCGCAAGCCUGACCCAGCAACGCCGCGUGAAGGAAGAAGGCUUUCGGGCUGUAAACUUCUUUUAUGAGGGACGAAGGAACUGACGGUACCUCCUGAAUAAGCCACGGCUAACUACGUGCCAGCAGCCGCGGUAAUACGUAGGUGGCGAGCGUUAUCCGGAUUUACUGGGUGUAAAGGGCGUGUAGGCGGGAUUGCAAGUCAGAUGUGAAAACUAUGGGCUCAACCCAUAGCCUGCAUUUGAAACUGUAGUUCUUGAGAGCUGGAGAGGCAAGCGGAAUUCCGUGUGUAGCGGUGAAAUGCGUAGAUAUACGGAGGAACACCAGUGGCGAAGGCGGAUUGCUGAACAGUAACUGACGCUGAGGCGCGAAAGCGUGGGGAGCAAACAGGAUUAGAUACCCGAGUAGUC